GCGCUUGCCUCAGCAGCACAUACACUACAAUAGAAAUAAUACAGAGAUUAGCGUGGCCCCCGUGGGAGGAUGACACGCCAAUACAUGAAGCAUUCCAUAUCUUU
Molecule: small nuclear RNA, 104 nt
Organism: Colobus angolensis palliatus
Lineage: Eukaryota; Metazoa; Chordata; Mammalia; Primates; Cercopithecidae
Source: Ensembl